RNAcentral lists this long non-coding RNA (1038 nucleotides) under Homo sapiens (human). RNAcentral describes it as "HSALNT0178770". Lineage: Eukaryota; Metazoa; Chordata; Mammalia; Primates; Hominidae. The record is from RNAcentral.
GUUCAGUCCUACCCUUCUGAAGAGGAUCUAGCAGAAGUGAGGAGUGCCUCUGCCCGGCUGCCCCAAAUGGGAAGUGAGGUGUGCCUCUGCCUGGCCACCCCAUCUGGGAAGUGAGGAGCACCUCUGCCCGGCCACCCCGUCUGGGAUGUGAGGAGCGCCUCUGCCCAGCCGCCACCCCGUCUAGGAAGUGAGAAGCGCCUCUGCCCGGUCGCCCCGUCUGGGAGGUGAGGAGCGCCUCUGCCUGGCAGCCGCCCUGUCUGGGAUGUGAGGAGCGCCUUUGCCCAGCCGCCACCCGAUCUGGGAUGUGAGGAGCGCCUCUGCCCGGCCGCCCCGUCUGAGAGGUGAGGAGCGCCUCUGCCUGGCAGCCGCCCUGUCUGGGAGGUGGGGAGUGCCUCUGCCCGGCCGCCCCGUCUGGGAGGUGGGGAGUGCCUCUGCCCGGCCGCCACACCGUCUGGGAGGUGAGGAGCGCCUCUACCUGGCAGCCCCGUCUGGGAACUGAGGAGCGCCUCUGCACGGCCGCCACCCUGUCUGCGAAGUGGGGAGCACCUCCACACGGCCGCCCUGUCUGGGAUGUGGGGAGUGCCUCUGCCCGGCCGCCCCGUCUGGGAGGUGGGGAGUGCCUCUGCCCGGCCGCCACACCGUCUGGGAGGUGAGGAGCGCCUCUACCUGGCAGCCCCAUCUGGGAACUGAGGAGCGCCUCUGCACGGCCGCCACCCUGUCUGCGAAGUGGGGAGCGCCUCCACCCGGCCGCCCUGUCUGGGAUGUGAGGAGCGCCUCUGCCCGGACACCACCCCAUCUGGGAGGUGAGGAGCACCUCUGCCUGGCUGCCCCGUCUGGGAACUGAGGAGCACCUCUGCCUGGCUGCCCCGUCUGGGAAGUGAGGAGCACCUCUGCCCAGCUGCCCCAUCUGGGAGGUGUACCCAACAGCUCCAAAGAGACAGCGACCAUCGAGAAUGGGCCAUGAUGACGAUGGCGGUUUUGUCGAAAAGCAAAGGGGGAAAUGCAGGGAAAAGAAAGAGAGAUCAGAUUGUUACUGUG